Molecule: ribosomal RNA, 938 nt
Filed under: uncultured bacterium
Lineage: Bacteria
Description: bacterial SSU rRNA
Rfam family: Bacterial small subunit ribosomal RNA
Source: RNAcentral
CAUGCAAGUCGAGGGGAAACGACAUCGAAAGCUUGCUUUUGAUGGGCGUCGACCGGCGCACGGGUGAGUAACGCGUAUCCAACCUGCCCACCACUUGGGGAUAACCUUGCGAAAGUAAGACUAAUACCCAAUGACGUCUCUAGAAGACAUCUGAAGGAGAUUAAAGAUUUAUCGGUGAUGGAUGGGGAUGCGUCUGAUUAGCUUGUUGGCGGGGUAACGGCCCACCAAGGCGACGAUCAGUAGGGGUUCUGAGAGGAAGGUCCCCCACAUUGGAACUGAGACACGGUCCAAACUCCUACGGGAGGCAGCAGUGAGGAAUAUUGGUCAAUGGACGAGAGUCUGAACCAGCCAAGUAGCGUGCAGGAUGACGGCCCUAUGGGUUGUAAACUGCUUUUAUAAGGGAAUAAAGUGAGUCUCGUGAGACUUUUUGCAUGUACCUUAUGAAUAAGGACCGGCUAAUUCCGUGCCAGCAGCCGCGGUAAUACGGAAGGUCCGGGCGUUAUCCGGAUUUAUUGGGUUUAAAGGGAGCGUAGGCCGGAGAUUAAGCGUGUUGUGAAAUGUAGACGCUCAACGUCUGCACUGCAGCGCGAACUGGUUUCCUUGAGUACGCACAAAGUGGGCGGAAUUCGUGGUGUAGCGGUGAAAUGCUUAGAUAUCACGAAGAACUCCGAUUGCGAAGGCAGCUCACUGGAGCGCAACUGACGCUGAAGCUCGAAAGUGCGGGUAUCGAACAGGAUUAGAUACCCUGGUAGUCCGCACGGUAAACGAUGGAUGCCCGCUGUUGGUCUGAAUAGGUCAGCGGCCAAGCGAAAGCAUUAAGCAUCCCACCUGGGGAGUACGCCGGCAACGGUGAAACUCAAAGGAAUUGACGGGGGCCCGCACAAGCGGAGGAACAUGUGGUUUAAUUCGAUGAUACGCGAGGAACCUUACCCGGGCUU